GGGGGUAUAGCUUAGUGGUAGAGUACAUAGCUAGCACGCAUGAGGUCCUUCCUGGGCUCGAUCCCCAGUACAUCUA
RNAcentral lists this transfer RNA (76 nucleotides) under Camelus bactrianus (Bactrian camel). It matches the Rfam family "tRNA". Rfam says of the family: Transfer RNA (tRNA) molecules are approximately 80 nucleotides in length. RNAcentral also lists the same sequence under 1 other name. Lineage: Eukaryota; Metazoa; Chordata; Mammalia; Artiodactyla; Camelidae. The record is from Rfam by way of RNAcentral.